AGUGAACGCUGGCGGUAGGCCUAACACAUGCAAGUCGAACGGCAGCACAGUAAGAGCUUGCUCUUACGGGUGGCGAGUGGCGGACGGGUGAGGAAUACAUCGGAAUCUACUUUUUCGGGGGGGAUAACGUAGGGAAACUGACGCUAAUACCGCAUACGACCUACGGGUGAAAGCAGGGGAUCUUCGGACCUUGCGCGAUUGAAUGAGCCGAUGUCGGAUUAGCUAGUUGGCGGGGUAAAGGCCCACCAAGGCGACGAUCCGUAGCUGGUCUGAGAGGAUGAUCAGCCACACUGGAACUGAGACACGGUCCAGACUCCUACGGGAGGCAGCAGUGGGGAAUAUUCGGCAAUGGGCGCAAGCCUGAUCCAGCCACACCGCGUGGGUGAAGAAGGCCUUCGGGUUGUAAAGCCCUUUUGUUGGGAAAGAAAAGCAGCAGGUUAAUACCCCGCUGUUCUGACGGUACCCAAAGAAUAAGCACCGGCUAACUUCGUG
This 492-nucleotide ribosomal RNA is filed under the name uncultured bacterium. RNAcentral describes it as "partial 16S ribosomal RNA". It matches the Rfam family "Bacterial small subunit ribosomal RNA", at positions 29 to 507 of the family's 1533-position model. The record is from RNAcentral.